This 70-nucleotide transfer RNA is filed under the name Pipistrellus kuhlii (Kuhl's pipistrelle). RNAcentral's name for it is "tRNA-Gly". The record is from RNAcentral. Lineage: Eukaryota; Metazoa; Chordata; Mammalia; Chiroptera; Vespertilionidae.
UGUUCUUUUAGUAUCACUCAGUACAGCUGACUUCCAAUCAGUAAGACUUGGUAGACCCCAAGAAAGAACA